Molecule: signal recognition particle RNA, 296 nt
Filed under: Vombatus ursinus (common wombat)
Lineage: Eukaryota; Metazoa; Chordata; Mammalia; Diprotodontia; Vombatidae
Description: Metazoan signal recognition particle RNA (ENSVURG00010018646.1)
Rfam family: Metazoan signal recognition particle RNA
About the family: The signal recognition particle (SRP) is a universally conserved ribonucleoprotein. It is involved in the co-translational targeting of proteins to membranes.
Source: Rfam by way of RNAcentral
GCUGGGCAUGGAGGCAUACAUCUGUAAUUCUUAGGAGAGGCAGAUGCUGAUGGAUUGCUUGAGCUUGGGAUUGUUGAACUAUAGUAGGGCUAAAGAUGAUUGGGCAUCCACACUAAGUUCAACACCAAUAGAGUAAGAAUCCAGGAAUGGAGGUCACUAGAUUGCUUAAGAAGAGAAAAACUGACCCAAAUCAAAAUCUGAGCAAGUCAAAGCUUCUGUGAUGAUCAGCGGUGGGAUUCGGCCAUGAGUGAAUACUGAACUUCCAGCCCGGGCAAAAUAUGGAGACCCAGUAUAAA